UACGUAGGGGGCAAGCGUUGUCCGGAUUUAUUGGGCGUAAAGAGCGUGUAGGCGGCCAAACAGGUCCGUUGUGAAAACUGGAGGCUCAACCUCCAGACGUCGACGGAAACCGUGUGGCUAGAGUCCGGAAGAGGAGAGUGGAAUUCCUGGUGUAGCGGUGAAAUGCGCAGAUAUCAGGAAGAACACCAAUGGCGAAGGCAGGUCUCUGGGCCAUUACUGACACUGAGAAGCGAAAGCAUGGGGAGCGAACAGG
This 253-nucleotide ribosomal RNA is filed under the name uncultured bacterium. RNAcentral's name for it is "partial 16S ribosomal RNA". It matches the Rfam family "Bacterial small subunit ribosomal RNA", at positions 524 to 776 of the family's 1533-position model. The record is from RNAcentral.